RNAcentral lists this ribosomal RNA (506 nucleotides) under uncultured bacterium. RNAcentral describes it as "partial 16S ribosomal RNA". It matches the Rfam family "Bacterial small subunit ribosomal RNA", at positions 29 to 523 of the family's 1533-position model. The record is from RNAcentral.
AUUGAACGCUGGCGGCAGACCUAACACAUGCAAGUCGGACGGUAGCACAGAGGAGCUUGCUCCUCGGGUGACGAGUGGCGGACGGGUGAGUAAUGUCUGGGGAUCUGCCCGAUAGAGGGGGAUAACCACUGGAAACGGUGGCUAAUACCGCAUAACGUCGCAAGACCAAAGAGGGGGACCUUCGGGCCUCUCACUAUCGGAUGAACCCAGAUGGGAUUAGCUAGUAGGCGGGGUAACGGCCCACCUAGGCGACGAUCCCUAGCUGGUCUGAGAGGAUGACCAGCCACACUGGAACUGAGACACGGUCCAGACUCCUACGGGAGGCAGCAGUGGGGAAUAUUGCACAAUGGGCGCAAGCCUGAUGCAGCCAUGCCGCGUGUAUGAAGAAGGCCUUCGGGUUGUAAAGUACUUUCAGCGGGGAGGAAGGCGAUGUGGUUAAUAACCGCAUUGAUUGACGUUACCCGCAGAAGAAGCACCGGCUAACUCCGUGCCAGCCGCCGCCGUAA